GAGUAACGGAGGAGCACGAAGGUUGGCUAAUCCUGGUCGGACAUCAGGAGGUUAGUGCAAUGGCAUAAGCCAGCUUGACUGCGAGCGUGACGGCGCGAGCAGGUGCGAAAGCAGGUCAUAGUGAUCCGGUGGUUCUGAAUGGAAGGGCCAUCGCUCAACGGAUAAAAGGUACUCCGGGGAUAACAGGCUGAUACCGCCCAAGAGUUCAUAUCGACGGCGGUGUUUGGCACCUCGAUGUCGGCUCAUCACAUCCUGGGGCUGAAGUAGGUCCCAAGGGUAUGGCUGUUCGCCAUUUAAAGUGGUACGCGAGCUGGGUUUAGAACGUCGUGAGACAGUUCGGUCCCUAUCUGCCGUGGGCGCUGGAGAACUGAGGGGGGCUGCUCCUAGUACGAGAGGACCGGAGUGGACGCAUCACUGGUGUUCGGGUUGUCAUGCCAAUGGCACU
RNAcentral lists this ribosomal RNA (445 nucleotides) under Salmonella enterica. RNAcentral's name for it is "partial 23S ribosomal RNA". It matches the Rfam family "Bacterial large subunit ribosomal RNA", at positions 2295 to 2739 of the family's 2925-position model. The record is from RNAcentral. Lineage: Bacteria; Pseudomonadati; Pseudomonadota; Gammaproteobacteria; Enterobacterales; Enterobacteriaceae. RNAcentral also lists the same sequence under 1 other name.